GCCUCAAGUGAUGUGCCUGCCUUUGCCUCCGCCUCCCAAAGUGCUGGAAUUACAGGCAUGAGCCACUGUGCUAGGCCUAGGUUUCACUACUUAACUGUAUGUAUUAAUCAUUGCUGAGCCACAUUGGGUAGUAAAGUUCCUUUCUUACACCAUGUUUUGUUUUCUGAAUUUAAAAUAGCUCUGCUUAAAUUUCAGUUACCAAUCAUCAUUUCAGCUUGAAAUUCUAGACAUCUAACAAUAUUCUCUGGAUAAAGACAGACCAACGAUUUUGUUUGAGCAGUUUCUUUUUUUUGGAAGCAUCCUUUCUGGAGAACUCUGUCUUCCAGCUUGAAUCUGGGCUUGUGCCCUUUGAUAUUACUGCCUGGUUUUCUAACUUCGCUAGGGGAUAUUAAGAUACAAAAUAGAUCUAUAGAUUCAGCACAAUCUCUGUAUGCAGGAACUGAUGAUCUGAUUCUAAAAUUUACAUAAAAAACACUAAGACUAGCCAAAACAAUUUUGAAAAAGUAGAACAAAGUUGAAGGACUCACUACCUGACUUUAAGAAUUACUACAAAGCUGAAGUACUCAAGACAAUGUGGUACUGAUAUUUUAAAAAUGCAUAUAGAUCAAUGGAACAGAACAGAGUCCAGCCAACAGAUUUUCAGCAACACUGCUAAUAUAACUGCAUGGAGAAAGAAUGUCUUUACAAUAAAUGGUGCUACGGAACAACUAAAAUGGGUGGGGGGGGAACAUGACCCUCCAACCUCUAUACCUUGAACCAUAAAAUUUAACUCAAAAAUGAAUCAUAGGCCCAAACGUAAAAACUAAAACUGGCUAAAAUUAUAAAAUUAAAAAAAUCAUAGGAAAAAAUUUUCUUGACUAUGGGGUACAUAAUGUUUUCAUAGGGCACCAAAUUAAUGACUUAGAAAAAUGUAUACAUCAGACUUCCUGAAAAUUAAAACCAUCUGAUCUUCCAAAGGUAUCACUAUUAAGAAACGGGAAAUAUUUGCAAAGGACUUGUACCCAGCAUAUAUAAAAAACUCACAUUUUACAAAAGAAAGCAUAUAAUAAAAGGAAACAUGGGAAAUGGGUCAACAUUAUUAGUUAUCAGGGAAGUGUUAAUUAAAACCACAAUAAAAUACUACUGCUCCAGUAGAAUGGCUAAAAAGACUGAAAAUACUAAACAUUGGCAAGGAUAAGGAGCAACUGGAACACUCCUAGUAGAAAUAUAAAGCUAAAUGAAAAAUUAUAUAGUCAACUAAAAAAAUAAUGUCAGUUUCUUAUGAACACAUACUUACCAUAUGAACCAACAAUUCUAUACCUAGAUAUUUACCUAAGAGAAUGAAACACAUCCACAAAAAACACUUGCACAUGAAUGAUCAGAGCGGCUUUUCACAGUAGCCUAAAAUUGGAAACAGCUCCAAUAUUCAUCAAUAGGUGAAUGAACAAACUUGUAUAUUCAUACAUAAUAAUGCUCAGCAAUAAAACAAUGAAAAACAAUCUUUUGGGGUCGAGUGCAAGGUGGUGUGAUUGUGUGUAUGAUUACACCAUGUGCUACUAUCCAGGGAAGAACUGGGCUAGGGGCAUAUCUUUGACAGCGGCUCGAACGCUGCAGGACGGCCAGGUCCCUGGGCAUCCAGCCCUGGCCUAUGCUCCCCUUUGUCCCUGAGCAUUUAAACGUUACUUUCUGAAUCUCAGACCCACAGCUCUUUGCAGGUUUCGUCGUGAGCCUGCUGCAAAUUUUGAACCUAAGUAAACCACAAUCCAGAGGGCCUAGUGGUAACGUGGACACUGUGUCUAUCUGAAGUGCUCAGCAAUAAAGCAAAGGCAGUGAGUUGAUUAAAAAAAAAAUGAUAAAGCAAAAUAUACAUGCAUGCAUCUUAAAACAUUAAACUGGGCAAAAGUCAUCAGACACAAAAGAGUAUAUACUGUAGCUCAUGAGCAAAGCAGUGGGAAGCAGGCACAGGACUGGGAUGCUGUGGCCCCCAAGAGGCCCUGAGUCGGGGCAGGAAACAAGAUUGGAGGCCGUAGGCUUAUUGUGGUGCUGGAAAGGGCCAGACUGGAGACAGUCAAGGUAGGGAAGACAUAUGAGCUACUCAACUGUGACAAGCACAAAGUCUACAUUGUUGAAGAAUGGACGGGACCCUGGGGAAGUGCGGCCAGACAUAGCCCACCAGAGUUUGCUGAUGCUGAUGGAUAGUCCCCUGAACCGAGCUGGCUUGCUGCAAGUUUAUAUCCACACACAGAAGAAUGUUCUGAUUGAAGUGAACCACCAGACCCGAAUUCCCAGAACCUUUGGCCACUUUUGUGGCCUCAUGGGUAACUAAGAAUCCAGUAUCAGAUCACUUUCCAGUUGGAUGUAUGAAAGUUGGCACUUCUUUUUCCAUCCCGGUUAUCAGUGAUCUGUGAGCUAGUGCCCGGCGUGAGCUAAUGCCCAGCAGUGAUCCUACUGUUUCUGCGGUGGGGGCCUUUGCCUAUGGUAAGGUCAGUGUGGAGUAUACAAAGAUGGUGUCCAUCAGCAACUAUGCUCUUUCUGCUGCCCUCAUCUGUGUAAAACUUACCACAGCCUUUGAGGAAGUAUGGGGGGUCAUUUGACAGUAGUAGAACCUGUUCUGAAACCAGAAACUGUUGAUGACCCGGGUCUGAGCUGACAGCUGGAAGAUGAUCUUUCUGCACUGAGACUGCAAAGUUUGGGGAGCCAAGGCUGUACGUUUGCUAUUUGUUUAUCCUAUGAAUACGGCUCUUGCAAAAAAAGAGUACAUACUGUAGAAUUCUACACAUAUGUAGUUCAAGAAGCAGAAAAAUUAAUUUAUAGUGAUAAAAAGCCUUUUGUUGAUUGCCUACAGCACGGGGCAAGAAUAGGAAAAUUGACUGCCAAGUAGGGUAAGCACAAGGGAACUUUCUGGGGUGAUGGACACACACUAUAUUUUUAUUGGUGUAGUCGUCAUAUGGUAUAUACAUUUACCAAAAUUAAGUAUAUAGUAUAUAAAAUACUAUAUACUUAAAUUGUGUUCAUUUUGUUGUAUGAAAAUCAGACCUCAAUAAAGUUGAGCUGAUAGCCCCCAAACAAAACCUACUGGUUAUGAAUUUGGCCGUAAGGGAACUGCCAAGAGUACUAACAAACAAUUGAUCUCUGACCAAAAUCAAGUAAAAUGACAAUGUAACCAUAAAAGUUAAUCUCAAAAGCUCCAUGUUUGGAAAUUUUAAAAAUCUUACUCAUAAAUGAUUCACAAGUUAAAGAGUAACAUGAUUUAUCUAAGCUUAAGAUAUUAUCUGAAUUAUCUACAAGAAAACUGUUAGUUUCAAAUGUAUACAUUACGGAAGAAAAACAUUUUAAAAAAUCAACAAGCUAAAGAGUCAAUUCAAGAACUUAGAAAAUGGAACAAUACAGUAAACCCAAAGCAAAUAAUAAAAAGAGAAGAUCAGAUACUGAAUAGAAGAAAAAAUGGCCGAAGAAAGAUUAGCUUUUUGACAAAAAUAUUAACAUAUAUUUUGUCAAAUUAAUCUAGGACAAAACACGACACCGAAAACAAACAAUACAAAUAAAAAGGGGUGUGAUUUACAGGUACUAUAAAUCAUAAGAGUAAUCGAAACAAUAUAGAAAAAAACUGAAAUCAUAAAAGGGAAUUUUCUAGAAAUAAUUAUCAAAACCUACUUAAGAAAACAGAAUAUACCUACAACUAUUAAUUGAUAGAGUUAAUUGUUACAUGUAUAUAAGUUUCAAGCCCAGAAAUUUUCCCACAUAAACAUUUUUCUCAAGAAUAAAAAAUUUUCUUUUUUUUUUGAGAUGGAGUCUCAUUCUGUCACCAGGCUGGAGUGCAGUGAUGCAACUUCCACCUCCCAGGUUCAAGUGACUCUCCUACCUCACCCUCCCAAGUAGCUGAGAUUACUGGUUUUGUAAUCUCACUACGCCCAUCUAGGUUUUGUAUUUUUAGUAGAGAUAGGAUUUCACCACGUUGGCCAGGCAGGUCUGAAACUUCCGACUACAGGUGACCCACCUGCCUCAGCCUCCCAAAGUGCUGGGAUUACAGGCUUGAGCCACCAUGCCUGGCCCAGAAUGAAAACUUGCUUAAAUUACAUAGCACAAUCUUCAAUGAAAACCCAAAAAGGAACAACUAUAAAAGAAAAUUUUAAGGCCUGGCACAGUGGUUCACGAGGUCAAGAGAUCAAGGCCAUCCUGGCCAACAUGGUGAAA
Molecule: RNA transcript, 4173 nt
Organism: Cebus imitator (Panamanian white-faced capuchin)
Lineage: Eukaryota; Metazoa; Chordata; Mammalia; Primates; Cebidae
Gene name: ribosomal RNA small subunit methyltransferase NEP1-like
Exons: 1
Source: RefSeq, a predicted model, not a curated record